Molecule: ribosomal RNA, 435 nt
Filed under: uncultured bacterium
Lineage: Bacteria
Description: partial 16S ribosomal RNA
Rfam family: Bacterial small subunit ribosomal RNA
Source: RNAcentral
AGCGAACGCUGGCGGCAGGCUUAACACAUGCAAGUCGAACGGGCAUCUUCGGAUGUCAGUGGCAGACGGGUGAGUAACACGUGGGAACGUACCCUUCGGUUCGGAAUAACUCAGGGAAACUUGAUAUAAUACCGGAUACGCCCUUUUGGGGAAAGGUUUACUGCCGAAGGAUCGGCGCGUGUCUGAUUAGCUUGGUGGUGGGGUAACGGGCUACCAAGGCGACGAUCAGUAGCUGGUCUGAGAGGAUGAUCAGCCACACUGGGACUGAGACACGGCCCAGACUCCUACGGGAGGCAGCAGUGGGGAAUAUUGGACAAUGGGCGCAAGCCUGAUCCAGCCAUGCCGCGUGAGUGAUGAAGGCCUUAGGGUUGUAAAGCUCUUUUGUCCGGGACGAUAAUGACGGUACCGGAAGAAUAAGCCCCGGCUAACUUCGUG